GACUUCUUGCUGCCCAAGGCUUGGUUCCUGGUCAGGAAGACUUCUCUACCCCCAGACAGGAGACCUGUGCAUGCCCACCCCAUGGCACAGCUGGGGUCAGGACCAGUGUCUGCUGCUGCAUGCCCUGUUCAUGGCCACUGGUGCACCCUGGACCGGCCUCAGAGGCGGGUCUGGCCAGGCUGGAUGGAGGGCGGGGCUGACAGCAGACCUGGGGCUGCCACACCCUUGGGGGAAGGGCUGCGGCGACGUGGGCGCCUCCCGUUGGCUGGGCCGACAGCCUCCCGCCUGGCUGCACAGGAUGUUUCUUUAAGGAGCUUUCCCGUGCACCUCCUGUGUGCAGCUGGACCCCGGGGCGGUGGCCGUUCCCUGGGCCAGGUGCUUGUCUGGGCUGGCUGGCCUGGCGGCUGCUCACGACUCCCAGUGCGUUGCAUCUGUGGAGCUUUCACCUACAAAAGGGGAAGGAGGUAGCCCGAGGAGCUGAGGCCUGGCCUUGCUCUGACCGGUGCCAGCAGCAGCACUUCCUGGAUGUGCCCACCGUUAUGACACUCAGGCCGAGUCAGGUCCAGACUCAAACCCAGGUGGAAAGGAGUGGGACCCCCUGCCAGGGCCGAAAGGCCCCAGAGAGGAGCCUGUGGGUGGGCUCCCCUUGCCCUCUGCAGAGGCUUAAGGCCCCUGGGGGCAUGAGGAUGGGGUUCCCAAGCCAGCCUGGUGUUUAUCAGCUGUCCCAGCUGACCUCCCCCCACCCCAUGGCCCUGUUGCACCACGCGCCCCAGGCCAGGCCAGUUCCUCUUCCAGAAGUCCCAGCCAUUCUCAGGGUGAGCUGCCCUCCUAGACACCGUACGGAGAGCUCCUUCCUGUUCACAGGCUCCCCACUGGUGCAGGAAGUCACCACCCAGCCAUGGAUGGGGAGGAGCAGCAGCCAGCGCAUGAGGCCGAUGUGGAACCUGUUGUGCCGUCGGAGGCUUCAGAGCCGGUGCCCAGGGUGCUUUCUGGAGACCCCCAGAACCUGUGUACGUCUCCCUCAGGGCCCUGGCACGUUCCCUGGUGUUGGGCUAUUGAGUCAGGGAGAAGCGGGUGGAGGCCGACCGCUGUCAUGGGCUUUGAGUCUGUGGCCGAGACCUGGGGUGGGUGCUGCUAGGCCCAGUGCCCCAGAGGACAGACCUGACCCCCACAGCAGCUGCUCCUGGGCCCUGUGUGGCAGCAGAGCCUCUUGGAAGGGCUGCCAGCAGCACAAGCCAGCCUUGGGCAUAGGGGGCUCUUGAGCAUAAGGAGUGUGAGAAGUGUGAGAGCCCCUCCUGUGGCGGGGACACGGGCUUUCCCUCCUCAGAGCCCCUCCCCUCGCUGAGCCCCCUGGGGCGCCCGCCACUCCACUGUCUACCAUGCGGUGUGUCACCUACAGCAGCCCCUAAGCUCGCCCUCAUGGUGUGGAUGGGGCACAGGCUUCUCAAAGGCGUCCAGCUCA
This is an RNA transcript of Cebus imitator (Panamanian white-faced capuchin), 1462 nucleotides long. RefSeq lists it as uncharacterized. The transcript has 3 exons. NCBI's taxonomy places the organism in Eukaryota, Metazoa, Chordata, Mammalia, Primates, Cebidae. The record is from RefSeq and is a predicted model, not a curated record.